Molecule: ribosomal RNA, 272 nt
Filed under: uncultured bacterium
Lineage: Bacteria
Description: partial 16S ribosomal RNA
Rfam family: Bacterial small subunit ribosomal RNA
Source: RNAcentral
GUACGAGGGGUGCAAGCGUUAAUCGGAAUUACUGGGCGUAAAGCGCGCGUAGGCGGUUUGCUAAGUCAGAUGUGAAAUCCCCGGGGCUCAACCUGGGAAUGGCAUUUGAGACUGGUAGGCUAGAAUGUGGUAGAGGUGAGUGGAAUUCCAGGUGUAGCGGUGAAAUGCGUAGAGAUCUGGAGGAACAUCAGUGGCGAAGGCGACUCACUGGGCCAUUAUUGACGCUGAGGUGCGAAAGCGUGGGUAGCAAACAGGAUUAGAUACCCUGGUAG